This 1096-nucleotide long non-coding RNA is filed under the name Physcomitrium patens. Its description in RNAcentral is "long non-coding RNA (PPAT_LNC007623)". The record is from RNAcentral. Lineage: Eukaryota; Viridiplantae; Streptophyta; Bryopsida; Funariales; Funariaceae.
UCCGUGACGUUUUGACUGAAAUGUAGCUAAGUGGGAUCUUAGCUCUAUAUUUGCUAUUUGGUAGUAGAGGAUGUGGUUUGCUUACGAUUCUUCAUCUCCUCUGCCGCAAGGGUUAAGACUUGGUGGGUUGUAGCGAAGUAUAAUGGGUUGAAAUGUGAACCACCGAGGUACCUGCAAAGUUGAGAACGGUGAAACAGUGGCUCAACCAACACAUCACACACCACAAGACGCGAUGAUCAAUUGCUUCAAGUAAGAGAAAAUAUAUGAUUCCAAAUAAACCUCACAGAACCACGUUUCAAUCAUAACCCUAUACUUACUAAUCCAGCCCCUCAACUUCCUAAGGCAGCCUCGAAGCCGAAUUAUGAGGCUUCUGCGGUUUGAGAAACUCUAUUAACAAUGUCCAUUCACACUUAAAACUUGGAAGAUAGAUCACAUGAGUUUGAUACCCUAUCUACAAACCACCAACUCCAAUGUUUCCCAUUUGAACACAUAGGGUCAGAACAAGAGCAGACCAGGGUAGUGGACAAAAGAACUAUGUGAUGCACUGUGUUCAAAAUGAGGUUUGAAAUUGCAGAAAAAAACAAAAACAAAACAAAACAAAACAAAAGAAGAAGAAGUCCUUCUUUAACAUCGCACAGGCCUGGAAGAUACCCUGUUGGAAUAAGCAACAAAGUAACAUGGAAAGUUUUGUGCUCCCUGCUUCUAAACGUGGCGGUACGUCGGUCCAUCCAGUGGCGUGCAGGAGCUGAAAAUCAAAGGUGUUUUGUGAGAAUGUGAGCAACAACGGCUUUAGCAAUAACAGCCCUGGCGGUAAUUCGAGAUGCAACUCCAAAUGCGCAUUAGUGAAUUCGUUCGGUGUAAUUCUCAAACCAUGGUCACCUUGUAGACCUUCAGUAGGGACGCCAUCAUUCAAUGCCCGACAUGUUUCUAAGAUGGGGCUCAUUACUUAAGGCUAAGGGAGAAAAUCCACUCAUGCGACCGAAUACCUUACCAGCAAAAGAAACAUCCGAACAAUUCACGUGUCCUGGAAAUAAGUUGUCACUGGGACAUAACGUUCGCUAGGGGAGCAUACAUCGGCAAAAAGGUUGCCAGCAUC